GAAAUGGGAGAGCACGAUGCUAAUUACGUGUUUACGUGGAUGAGGCAGGGUUAAAAACCCAGCUUGCUGAGUGAACAAAAGCAACUGGGUUUUUGAUUCAGCGAUGCCUGAUGCCGGGGCUGGUCUUAGUCCAAAUUCAGUCUCCAUGGAAACAAAACUUCUCUUUAAGCACGCCAUAUCUCUGACAGAGCAAGAGGCUUCUUUUUGGCAGACGUUUUUCCUGUUCUCUGUGCUAAUUUGCUGACGAUGAAUACUUCUGGAAUGAGCCGCUUUCUUCUAUCUCAUCAGUCUCCUCUGAAAUGCAACAGGUUUCUACUGUACGACAUGCAGUUUUCUCGCUUGAAACAAAGGAGAGUUGGUGAAACCGACUACAGGAACUCAUGCAUUGCUAGUGAGCCCUCUGGGAACUCUGAGCACCGUGCGAUUUCUAGGAGGAAGUGCGGCGGCAGCACACAGAGAAGCGUUUGAGCUCCACUGAGGACUGGAGGCAAGCGACCCACCUGUCCCUAGACAGCCAUGCAGAGAGGGUGUGUUAAUGGGAGGAUCAAUCUACGCCUAGAAAGAAGGUAGGAAAAAACACAGUAUUUACCCUGUAGAGAGCCUAGCAUCUACCAUAUGUUGCAAAGUGCUC
Molecule: long non-coding RNA, 631 nt
Filed under: Struthio camelus australis
Lineage: Eukaryota; Metazoa; Chordata; Aves; Struthioniformes; Struthionidae
Description: lncRNA (ENSSCUG00000011757.1)
Source: RNAcentral